UACGUAGGGUGCGAGCGUUAAUCGGAAUUACUGGGCGUAAAGCGUGCGCAGGCGGUUCGCCAAGUCAGGUGUGAAAUCCCCGGGCUUAACCUGGGAAUUGCGCUUGAAACUAGCGGGCUUGAGUGUGGCAGAGGGGGGUGGAAUUCCACGUGUAGCAGUGAAAUGCGUAGAGAUGUGGAGGAACACCAAUGGCGAAGGCAGCCUUCUGGGCCAACACUGACGCUCAUGCACGAAAGCGUGGGGAGCAAACAGG
Molecule: ribosomal RNA, 253 nt
Filed under: uncultured bacterium
Lineage: Bacteria
Description: partial 16S ribosomal RNA
Rfam family: Bacterial small subunit ribosomal RNA
Source: RNAcentral